CUAUUUUACCAUGUAAGAAAAAUACUCAUAGGUUCUGGGGAUUAGGGAGUGAACUUUUAUUAGAGGAGGGGAGAAUAUUCUUCCUACCGCAAUAAUUGUGUUUACUUAUCCAUGAACACUGUCUCUCAUGCAGAUCACAUAAGUGUAAGUUUGGGGAGGAAGAGAAUGGUAUUUGUCUUCAUAUCAAUGCUUCAGUUCCUAGCAAAGUGUCUGGUAUGUAGUAGAUUCUAUGCGAGGCAUUGCAGGUGCAUCAGACAAAAUUAGACAAAGUCUCCUCCCAUGAACAGCAUGUUAACAGUCUAGAAGGAUUAAAAAGGGAAGGCUGUUUUCAAUGAAGUUCAAACUAUCUCCAAACGUCAGUAGUUCAAAACAACAUACGUUGAUUUCUCACCAGUACCUGGUGUCCAUGUUGGCCAUGGUGGUUCUCAUCAGGGGCCCAGGCCCAGGCCGAGGGCCUCCACCUUGGUCAAGAGCCUCACUGGUGGUCGUGGCAGUCGGGCAGGCUGGGCGCUACCUCUUACCUGCCUGCCUCUCAAAAGUGAAGCCCAGAGCUUUCUUUCAGGUUCUGUUUACUAAAGGAAGACACACGGUCACACCUGAGUCAAAGCACAGGAUAUGCCAAACACGGUCCAUGCCCUAAAGAUUGAGAAUUGGAAUAUUAUGAGCAGCCCUGAGGUCUCCCAAAACACACAAACAAAUUCAUACUCUUGAGUUCAGCUUUUCUCCACGUGUUAUUCCAUCCUCACAUCAAAUGUCCCCAAUUGUCUGCAAUGUGACUUUAUGUCCGAUUACAUCAGGCAUUCAGCGUCUCGUGGGUCCCGUUACUGUAACCCACACAUGGGGCCUAGGCGUCUAUUCCUUGCUUAGUACAGGUGGCUCCCUUGGAGAGCAGAACUCGGUCAUUACUCGUUGGCUCUUCCAAGUGUCUGUUCUUGGAGGGGUGCCAAUCUGAUGGUUGGGGUCACUCCGUGGACCCACACCCGAGAACUACCCCUGGGCUACACUGGCUUAGCACUGUGUGGGCCCAGGUGCUGUCGUUCUGGAACUUGAAACCCACUAAGAUGAUGUGAUAACUAUCUGUUGGUUGUUCAAAGCUCUGGCUGAUUUCUCAGGAGGCAAAACCAUCCUUGCCUCGGUGUAGAUUGGCUACGAGGCCUGUGAUGUGGGGGGCGAGGCCUGGCACGUUCAGCCCAGCCCUCGGCCCCGUGCCCGGCUGCUGUCAAGCUGCUUCCUGUCCCUUGGGCCACACAGAGCGGUGACGGUCAUCUCAGUGCAGUCCCCGGGGCGCGGGCAGCAGACACGGGCACCAGGCCACGGCCUCCGUGCAGACCGUGGAGCACGGCACCCAGGACGCAGCUGGAGGCCCAGACCCUUCUCCCGCUGCUGCAGGGCCCAGAAACGCUGAAACACGGGCUUGUGGGCACUGGGCGACGUAUUCCAGAUGGGAAGCCUGCACUUUCCCACUGUGCCUCUUGGUGGGGAGUUGAGGUAAAGCAAAAUAUCUGCUCAAAUUAGUAUUUUUUCUCCCAUGUCCAAACUGGGAGGAAAUCAUCCACAAAGCGAAGCUCAGGUGUUUAUUGCUGUUUGUGGGUUUUUACACUGGAUGAGCAAAUUAGGCAAAUGAGCAGCGUGGAUACGAGGGUUGGGGUGGGAAGCUGCCACCUAACAAUCAGCGUGAGCCCCGUGGGCUGGAGCCGAACACCCAUGUGGGUUGAUGCAACUGAUGUCAAAUUACAAGAUUUGAGGGACAACUGGUAUCGAUUGAACACUUGCAGUUCUCUUUGUCUUUGUAUGUUUGUUUGUCUGGGGGGAGGUGGUCUUUAUUCUGUGUGUGUGUGUGUGUGUGUGUGUUGUUUGCUUGUUUGUCAGUAAAUUGUUAAUCGCCUAAAAUGAAACAAAAGCAAACAACUCCUAGAACUUCUUUUCCUCAUCAUUACCACACAGCCACAAAUGUUUGCUUCUUCCUUUGGGGGAAAAGAAGGGGGCUUUUGGUCUGAGCUUUUUCAGAAGUCGGAGUUUUAUCUGUGCUUUUUUGAUAUACGUUAAAGCUCUUCAUGUCUCCCUCUUGGA
Molecule: long non-coding RNA, 2070 nt
Organism: Canis lupus familiaris (dog)
Lineage: Eukaryota; Metazoa; Chordata; Mammalia; Carnivora; Canidae
Exons: 3
Source: RefSeq, a predicted model, not a curated record